Molecule: unclassified non-coding RNA, 225 nt
Filed under: Hevea brasiliensis (rubber tree)
Lineage: Eukaryota; Viridiplantae; Streptophyta; Magnoliopsida; Malpighiales; Euphorbiaceae
Source: RNAcentral
CUGCUUCCUCACAAAAGAUGGUCUCGAGUUUGACGUGCUCAUGCUUGUAUUUCCUUCAUUCAAUACAUUAACAAGAAUUUCAUCUCGUAAUUUUGUUAAACCAUGUUUUGUUGAUUCUUCUCUAACAUUUUCAACAAAGCAACAUCCUUCAAAAUGACAAUAGCUUUUGUCAAAUAUAACUCUAGCAAUAGUUGUCUUUCCGAUACCACCCAUUCCCCAUAGGCC